Molecule: ribosomal RNA, 504 nt
Filed under: uncultured bacterium
Lineage: Bacteria
Description: bacterial SSU rRNA
Rfam family: Bacterial small subunit ribosomal RNA
Source: RNAcentral
AACGAACGCUGGCGGCGCGCCUAAUACAUGCAAGUCGAGCGAGAAGGUGUAGCAAUACACUUGUAAAGCGGCGAACGGGUGAGGAAUACAUGGGUAACCUACCCUCGAGUGGGGAAUAACUAGCCGAAAGGUUAGCUAAUACCGCAUACGAUUCCAGGACUUCGGUGCUGGAAGGAAAGCACUACCGUGGGUAGUGCGCUCCUGGAUGGGCUCAUGUCCUAUCAGCUUGUUGGUGAGGUAAUGGCUCACCAAGGCUUCGACGGGUAGCUGGUCUGAGAGGACGAUCAGCCACACUGGCACUGCGACACGGGCCAGACUCCUACGGGAGGCAGCAGUAAGGAAUAUUGGUCAAUGGACGCAAGUCUGAACCAGCCAUGCCGCGUGGAGGAUGAAGGCCCUCUGGGUUGUAAACUUCUUUUAUCUGGGAAGAAAUGCCUGUUUUUGAACGGGUUUGACGGUACCAGAGGAAUAAGCACCGGCUAACUCCGUGCCAGCCGCCGCUGU